UCAAGCUACAAAGGGCGCAAGGAGAAUGCCUUGGCACUGGGAGCCGAUGAAAGACGUGGUAAGCUGCGAUAAGCUUCGGGGAGGAGCAAACAUCCUUUGAUCCGGAGAUUUCUGAAUGAGGAAACUCACCAGAGUUCAUACUCUGGUAUCCUGUACUGAAUCCAUAGGUACAGGAGGGGAACCGCCUGAACUGAAACAUCUAAGUAGGGCGAGGAAGAGACAUCAAACGAGAUUCCGUUAGUAGUGGCGAGCGAACGCGGAAGAGGGCAAACCGGAAGGAGAAAUCCUUCCGGGGUAUGGACCGCUUUUAGGACUUUAGCUGUUAAUCGAAUGGCAUGGGAAGGCCAACCAAAGAGUGUGAGAGUCACGUAGAUGAAAACGGCGAGAGCUGCGCGAGUUCCAGAGUACGGCCAGACACGUGAAACCUGGUCGGAAGAUGGGGGGACCACCCUCCAACCCUAAAUACUACCCAGUGACCGAUAGCGUAUAGUACUGUGAAGGAAAGGUGAAAAGGACCCCGGGAGGGGAGUGAAAUAGAACCUGAAACCUUGUGCCUACAAGCACAUAGAGCACAUCAACGUGUGAUAUGGUACUUUUUGUAGAACGGUCCGGCGAGCGAUUGUAUGUUGCGAGCUUAAGGUCUUAAGGACUGGAGGCGUAGCGAGAGCGAGUCUGAACAGGGCGUUCAGUAACAUGCAAUGGGCCCGAAACCGGGUGACCUACCCAUGAUCAGGCUGAAGUGAAAGUAAAAUUUCAUGGAGGGCCGAACCGACCUCCGUUGAAAAGGCGGCGGAUGAAUUGUGGGUAGCGGAGAAAUUCCAAUCGAACUCGGAGAUAGCUGGUUCUCCCCGAAAUAGCUUUAGGGCUAGCCUCAUAUUAGAUACCCGGAGGUAAAGCACUGAAUGGCCUAGCGCCCGAGAGGGUAGCGAAGCCUAUCAAACUAAGAAUGCCGGAGUAUUGAUGUAUGGGAGUCAGACAGUGUGAGAUAAAUCUCAUUGUCAAAAGGGAAACAGCCCAGAUCUACAGCUAAGGUCCCAAAUUGUAUCUAAGUGGAAAACGAUGUGGAAAUACGCAGACAACCAGGAUGUUGGCUCAGAAGCAGCCACUCAUUUAAAGAGUGCGUAAUAGCUCACUGGUCGAGCGUCUCUGCGCGGAAAAUUUAACGGGGCUAAGAUACAAACCGAAGCUUAGGCUGCAUCGUAAGAUGCGGGGUAGGGGAGCGUUGUGUAAGCGGAGAAACAGUAGCGUAAGCGGCUGUGGAGUUUACAGAAGUGAGAAUGCCGGAAUGAGUAGCGCGAAUGUGGUGAGAAUCCACAUGGCCGGAAACCUCAGGUUUUUGGAGGAAGGUUCGUCCGCUCCAAGUUAGGCGGGAGCUAAGGUCAGGCCGAAAGGCGUAGCCGAUGCACAGACGGUAGAGAUUCCGUCCCCACCGAAAGAUUUAAGCACAGGGACACUUUUUGAAGGUCGGAGCCAGGUGUUGGUUCUGGUAGUGAUCGAGGGAAAUAUAGUACCGAAGUCCGGCUGGAGAAGAGGCGAGAAAAGCUGUGUGUAUAUCUAAGGUGCCCGUACCGCAAACCGACACAGGUAGGUAGGAAGAAGAUUCUAAGGCCAACGGGAGAAGGGUUGUUAAGGAACUCGGCAAGUUGACCCCGUAACUUCGGAAUAAGGGGUGCUCACGAGAGUGAGCCGCAGAGAAUAGGCCCAGGCAACUGUUUACCAAAAACACAGGUUUGUGCUAAAUCGAAAGAUGACGUAUACGAGCUGACGCCUGCCCGGUGCUGGAAGGUUAAAAGGAGAUGUGCAAGCAUUGAAUUGAAGCCCCAGUGAACGGCGGCCGUAACUAUAACGGUCCUAAGGUAGCGAAAUUCCUUGUCAGGUAAGUUCUGACCCGCAUGAAAGGCGUAAUGAUCUGGGCACUGUCUCAACAGCCCGCCCGGCGAAAUUGUAGUACCGGUGAAGAUGCCGGUUACCCGCGACAAGACGGAAAGACCCCAUGGAGCUUUACUGUAGCCU
RNAcentral lists this ribosomal RNA (2013 nucleotides) under human gut metagenome. Its description in RNAcentral is "bacterial LSU rRNA". It matches the Rfam family "Bacterial large subunit ribosomal RNA", at positions 3 to 2112 of the family's 2925-position model. The record is from RNAcentral.